UUACAAAUCUACGCGUCUUUACCAAAGUCACGCUACACUGUCCAGCACGGACCCCAUAUUGCACCCGAUGACGUCACGGACGCACUAGCAUCGCGCUCGCUCAUUGGUGGAGGUUCCGGAUCUUGGUGUCGCAGUUGCUACGAUGCCGGCCUGGCGAAUGCUCCUGCACACGGCACCUCCGCACAGCUGGACGAGCUCCGUGAGACUGUGGCAGGGCGGCUGAGACAACGACGACACAAACAUGAGUGGCUGGUCACGGAACAGAUCCUGCUGAUGCUCUCCGGCUGAAAGAUGCUGCUGUAACCGGCAGAUCUGCAAGAAAGAGCAGAGAGAAAGGUUGCCAUUAGCAAUAGUACAUAAAUAAUAACCGUGUGAAAUAAUGCCAUCUGAUGCAAGUUGGCGAUUUAAUCUCUAGAAAGAAACCUCAAAAUUGCCUUACUCUUAGUCUAUGGAGCUACUUGUAUCAUAUGUACACUUUUCUGGCCACAACUUUUAGGAUCUUGAAAGUUACAAUCUGACUGUGUAGCUUUCAUGUACUGAUUUCCUGCAGGAAAAUACACUUAAAAGUAGGGAUGUAAACAAAUAUGAAUAUAUCCUUCAGAAUGAAUGGAUAAUGUGUUAUAAACAGACACAAAUACAGCUACUAAUAGAAGGCACACUAUUCAUUUUUUUUUUUUUUUUUUUUUUUUUAAUGUAUUGUUGGUGGUUUUAGAGGUCCAACCGAUCUAUUGCUUUUGCUUGCUGGAACUAUGGGUUAUAUGCAAAAAUCUAGAGCGGCCUCUAGAGGCGAAAUAAAAACUAUCGCUGACAAA
Ictalurus punctatus (channel catfish) is the source of this 812-nucleotide long non-coding RNA. RefSeq lists it as uncharacterized. NCBI's taxonomy places the organism in Eukaryota, Metazoa, Chordata, Actinopteri, Siluriformes, Ictaluridae. The transcript has 2 exons. The record is from RefSeq and is a predicted model, not a curated record.